Molecule: small RNA, 96 nt
Filed under: Flavobacterium sinopsychrotolerans
Lineage: Bacteria; Pseudomonadati; Bacteroidota; Flavobacteriia; Flavobacteriales; Flavobacteriaceae
Description: Flavo-1 RNA
Rfam family: Flavo-1 RNA
Source: RNAcentral
AAUUAGCCCCGAGUGAAGCGGCAUCCUUUUAUAUAGCUUCCAGCUUUUUGAAGGCUGGAAGCUGUGUAAAAAAUAUAGCGGAAAGCGAGAACUUUA